RNAcentral lists this ribosomal RNA (405 nucleotides) under Ciboneya antraia. Its description in RNAcentral is "partial 16S ribosomal RNA". The record is from RNAcentral. Lineage: Eukaryota; Metazoa; Arthropoda; Arachnida; Araneae; Pholcidae.
UCACUCUGUUUAUCAAAAACAUUUCCCUAAGCAUAUAAUUUAAGGUAAAACCUGCUCAAUGUAAUAUAUGAAUAGCUGCAGUUAACUGUACUAAGGUAGCAUAAUAAAUAGCUUUUUAAUUAAAAGAUAGAAUGAAAGGUCUAACGGAUUAAAACUGUAUCAUUUCUUGAAAUAAACUUAAAUUAAAAGUAAAAAUUCUUUUAUUAAUAAGAAAGACGACAAGACCCUAAUAAACUUGUGUAUUUUGCUGGGGCGGCAAGAAAAAAAAAUCUUAAUACUAUCGCAUAACUAAUCUAACACAAUUAAUAUGAAAAGUUACUAUAGGGAUAACAGCGCAAUUUUUUUUAAGAGCACUAAUCACAAAAAAAUAAUACGACCUCGAUGUUGAAUUAAUUUAUCCUAACA